UAGAGUCCUUUCAGGAAUCAUUUCUUUAGUUUCUUCUAGAGAAGCUUCUCUGAAACGUGUGGAGCACCAGACACCACAAAGAGGAGAUGCCACAUUCUCUCCUAAGUGGACUCUUGGUAUUGCUGUGCUGCAAUUGCCAUUUGCUAAUGAUGAUCUUUUCUUACUUAGAGUAAGACAGAGAGGAGAAAGUCAGCCUGAGCAGA
Aotus nancymaae (Ma's night monkey) is the source of this 203-nucleotide small nucleolar RNA. Its record names the gene U3. It matches the Rfam family "Small nucleolar RNA U3". From Rfam's summary of the family: Small nucleolar RNAs (snoRNAs) are involved in the processing and modification of rRNA in the nucleolus. There are two main classes of snoRNAs: the box C/D class, and the box H/ACA class. The record is from Ensembl. Lineage: Eukaryota; Metazoa; Chordata; Mammalia; Primates; Aotidae.